GAUCCUGACUCAGGAUGAACGCUAGCGACAGGCUUAACACAUGCAAGUCGAGGGGCAUCAUGAGGUAGCAAUACCUUGAUGGCGACCGGCGCACGGGUGAGUAACGCGUAUGCAACCUGCCCGAUACCGGGGUAUAGCCCAUGGAAACGUGGAUUAACACCCCAUAGUACUUUUAUCCUGCAUGGGAUGGGAGUUAAAUGUUCAAGGUAUCGGAUGGGCAUGCGUCCUAUUAGUUAGUUGGG
This 242-nucleotide ribosomal RNA is filed under the name uncultured bacterium. RNAcentral describes it as "partial 16S ribosomal RNA". It matches the Rfam family "Bacterial small subunit ribosomal RNA", at positions 15 to 253 of the family's 1533-position model. The record is from RNAcentral.